Molecule: transfer RNA, 73 nt
Filed under: Caudoviricetes sp.
Lineage: Duplodnaviria; Heunggongvirae; Uroviricota; Caudoviricetes
Description: tRNA-Pro
Rfam family: tRNA
About the family: Transfer RNA (tRNA) molecules are approximately 80 nucleotides in length.
Source: RNAcentral
CUGGGUGUAGCGCAGUUGGUAGCGCACGUAAUUUGGGGUUACGGUGUCGCAGGUUCAAGUCCUGCCACUCAGA